RNAcentral lists this ribosomal RNA (433 nucleotides) under uncultured bacterium. Its description in RNAcentral is "partial 16S ribosomal RNA". It matches the Rfam family "Bacterial small subunit ribosomal RNA", at positions 29 to 507 of the family's 1533-position model. The record is from RNAcentral.
AACGAACGCUGGCGGCAUGCCUAACACAUGCAAGUCGAACGAGACCGUCGGGUGUAGGGGCGAACGGGAGGGGAAGGCGAGGGAAGCGUCACGUGGGGGGGGAAUAACUCUCAGAAAGGGACGCUAAUACGGGAUAAUGGCUACGGACGAAUGAUUUAUCGACUCUGGAGGGGCCCGCGUUAGAUUAGCUAGUUGGUAAGGUAAAAGCCAACCAAGGCGACGCUCCAUAGCUGGUCUGAGAGCAGGACCAGCACCCCUGGGACUGAGACACGUCCCAGACGCCUACGGGUGGCAGCAGUGGGGAACAUUGGACGCUGGGCGAGAGCCUGAUCUAGCAAUGUCGCGUGACUGAUGAAGUCGUUAGGGUUGUAAAGCUCUUUUACCCGGGAUGAUAAUGACAGUACCGGGCGAAUAAGCUCCGGCUAACUCCGUG